CAUGAGGCGUGGUCUAACUGGUCAGCUCAUCACUGCGCCACAUGAAAGGAUGCACUUCCUCAUGAAGUGACACAGAACCCAAUCACACUGAAGAGCAACUCAUCAUUAUCCCACAUGAAAGGGUGCACUUCCUGAUUAAGUUAUAUAGAACCCAAUCACACUGAUGAGCAGAAUAUCACUCAUCCACCUCCAGUGCUAUUCAGAGAGUACUGACUGCUCUGCUUGAGUGAUGGUGUAAUUAGAAAACUGGAUGUUCUGGAAUUAUUGGCAAAAGAUCUAGUGGAAAUACUGCAAAAUGCUUGGUGCAAAUAGAUAAAGAGAGAAUCCGUAAAGCAGAUAUUGCUAAUUUAAAAUGCACAAAAGAAGCCAGACAGAAAAGAAGAGGGACCAAGAGAAGAAAAGAAGACCAGUAUGAUUCAGAUGAUGAUCAGUAUGGUCCAGGAAAAUAUUAGUGGUGCCAUUAUUUGAUAAACUAAUGGGAUUAUAAACAUGAAAUUUGGUCAAUUUGUACUCCAGAUGGUGAUAAGUUAUUUCAAAUAAAUUGAG
Molecule: long non-coding RNA, 546 nt
Organism: Schistocerca nitens (vagrant locust)
Lineage: Eukaryota; Metazoa; Arthropoda; Insecta; Orthoptera; Acrididae
Exons: 3
Source: RefSeq, a predicted model, not a curated record